UACGAAGGGGGCUAGCGUUGUUCGGAAUUACUGGGCGUAAAGCACGCGCAGGCGGCUAUCCAAGUCAGUGGUGAAAGCCCGGAGCUCAACUCCGGAACUGCCAUUGAAACUGUUUAGCUUGAGGACGAGAGAGGUGAGUGGAAUUCCCAGUGUAGAGGUGAAAUUCGUAGAUAUUCGCAAGAACACCAGUGGCGAAGGCGGCUCACUGGCCCGAUACUGACGCUGAGGCACGAAAGCGUGGGGAGCAAACAGG
This 253-nucleotide ribosomal RNA is filed under the name uncultured bacterium. RNAcentral's name for it is "partial 16S ribosomal RNA". It matches the Rfam family "Bacterial small subunit ribosomal RNA", at positions 524 to 776 of the family's 1533-position model. The record is from RNAcentral.